RNAcentral lists this transfer RNA (76 nucleotides) under Methylacidiphilales bacterium. Its description in RNAcentral is "Candidatus Methylacidiphilales bacterium tRNA-Ala". It matches the Rfam family "tRNA". Rfam says of the family: Transfer RNA (tRNA) molecules are approximately 80 nucleotides in length. Their secondary structure includes four short double-helical elements and three loops (D, anti-codon, and T loops). Further hydrogen bonds mediate the characteristic L-shaped molecular structure. tRNAs have two regions of fundamental functional importance: the anti-codon, which is responsible for specific mRNA codon recognition, and the 3' end, to which the tRNAs corresponding amino acid is attached (by aminoacyl-tRNA synthetases). tRNAs cope with the degeneracy of the genetic code in two manners: having more than one tRNA (with a specific anti-codon) for a particular amino acid; and 'wobble' base-pairing, i.e. permitting non-standard base-pairing at the 3rd anti-codon position. Lineage: Bacteria; Pseudomonadati; Verrucomicrobiota; Methylacidiphilae; Methylacidiphilales. RNAcentral also lists the same sequence under 1 other name. The record is from RNAcentral.
GGGGAUGUGGCUCGACAAGGAAGGCACCUGCUUUGCAAGCAGUCUCAUGCGGGAGCGUUACCCGCCAUCUCCACCA